Gadus morhua (Atlantic cod) is the source of this 213-nucleotide long non-coding RNA. RefSeq lists it as uncharacterized. The transcript has 3 exons. The record is from RefSeq and is a predicted model, not a curated record. Lineage: Eukaryota; Metazoa; Chordata; Actinopteri; Gadiformes; Gadidae.
GUCCUCAGAAAAUGGUGGUGCACAGUACUGCCUGAGAACUUCCACCUGGAUGGGCACGGCAGAAGGUUCCCACACUUCAUGGAGGAGGCCAAACAAAUGGCGGCUGAACUACUUCCACCAGUCUUCAGACUGAAGCGAAAAAGAGAAUGAGUUGGAGCUGAUGGCAGUCAGCAUGAAGAAGCUAUAUCUUUAAGCUUCUGUAGAUUAUUUGUU